CGGGGCUACGAUGGGAUACGCCGCGCGGAGCGGGCUGCGCGUUUGGGCCUGGCUCGGCUCCCGUCCCCCUCGGCAGGUGCCGGCGCCGGCUGCAGCCAUGGACCUGGGGCCGCUGAGGAAAAGCUACCGGGGGGACGAGGAGGCAUUUGAGGAGAAACAUCUCGCCUCCUUUGACCCAAUUAAGCAGUUUGCCAUGUGGUUUGAAGAGGCCAUGCGGUGCCCCUCAAUCGGCGAAGCCAAUGCUAUGUGCCUGGCCACCAGUACCAGGGAUGGGAGGCCCUCUGCCCGCAUGGUGCUCCUGAAGGGGUUUAGCCAGGAUGGCUUUCGAUUCUUCACUAACCACGAGAGCCGGAAAGGAAAGGAGCUGGACUCCAAUCCUUUAGCCUCAGUCGUCUUUUACUGGGAGCCCCUUAAUCGCCAGGUGCGUAUCGAGGGCUCUGUGGAGAGACUUCCAGAGGAGGAAUCGGAGCACUACUUCCACUCCCGGCCCCGAAGCAGCCAGAUCGGGGCUGUCGUGAGUCGCCAGAGCACAGUGAUUCCCGACAGGGAGUAUUUAAGGAAGAAGAACGCAGAACUGGAAGAGCUGUACCGGGAGGGCACUGUGCCAAAGCCUGCGUACUGCUUUUCCAUUGUCGGUUUAGAGCCGCUAUACCUUGUAUGCAGCUGAGUGUAAGCUGGCCAGUCAGGCUGAGGACAGCUAGGGUAGCUACAGUGAAUCUGACGACAGAGGAAAUAGACCAGGAUUUUCUACUCACAGUGACCAAUUACAAAGGUCUUAGCCAAUAGUUACAUCCUUCUUCCUCUCCACCCACCUGUUCAAGGAGCUGUGAUUCUCACUGAUCACUUGUCUGGGACAAAGAACACCUUGUGUGUCUGCAGAAUUCUUCCCCUGUUUAUUUUGGUAACAAACUAUAAGGGUGGAGGCUGCUGGGGAACACAAUACCCCUGGGUUAUCUAGGGGCUGUGUGUUUGUGGAGUGGCUCAUUAUUGGAGGCGGGCGUCUGAAUCAAAGCUGGUGGGAUAAUAUGGCCUUUAUAAUAACUGGAAGGUCACUACUUCCUUUCCUUUCGGCUUCAGGCUCAGCCACUCCCUGCUAAUAAACAGAAAAUCUUUUUGAGCGUCCCUAUUUGUGCUGAUAACAAUGCUCAGGCAAGGAGGGGCCCAGCCUGAUUCACCUCGCCCUCCUGUCCGCUGGGCCAGCAGGUUUGACUCCUAGCAUCAGGAGAUGCGGUGGGGGGCACUGGUAACAUGAGAGGGAGUGCCAGGGCUGGAUGUGCGUGAGUGUGGCUUUCACUGGAAUGGUGUGUCUGAAUGCAUCCCUCUGAAGCGGUACUGGAACCGGAGAGCUCUGCACAAAUUAAGACUAAGCUUGAUAAAUUUAUGGAAGGGAUAGUAUGAUGGGAUAGCUUAAUUUUGGAAUUGAUCUUUGAUUAUCAGCAGGUAAGUAUGCCCAGUGGUCUGUGAUGGGAUGUUGGAUAGGAUGGGAUCUGAGUUACUACAGAGAAUUCUUUCCUGAGUGCUGGCUGGUGAGUCUUGCCCACAGGCUCAGGGUUUAGCUGAUCGCCAUAUUUGGGGUCGGGAAGGAAUUUUCCUCCAGGGCAGAUUGGCAGAGGCCCUGGAGGUUUUUCGCCUUCCUCUGCAGCGUGGGGCAUGGGUCACUUGCUGGUGGAUUCUCUGCAGCUUGAGGUCUUCAAACCACAAUUUGAAGACUUCAAUAACUCAGACAUAGGUUAGGAGUUUGUUAUAGAAGUGGAUGGGUAGGAUUCUGUGGCCUGCUUUGUGCAGGAGGUCAGACUAGAUGAUCAUAUUGGUCCCUUCUGAUCCUAAAGUCUAUGAGUCUAUGAAUGCACCCUCCUUCUAAAGCACUUCCCCCCAAUACGUCUACAUGCACGCUUCACCUCUACGGCCUCAAGAGCUAGAGUCUGAAAGUAGCGUUCCAUAGCCUCAACAGUGGCACCAGUUAGGCCGUGAAGACUCAUCCCCCACAGCUAGGUGCAGGGAGACACCAUCUCCUUUAAUUUAGAUCCAGUAUCACCUGCCCCCUUGUCUAGUGGUGGAGGGUGAGGGUCCCUCGAUCUUUCCGAGCAGAACAAUUUUCAAUCUGAUCCAAGCCCUGGGGUGUUUUCACAGAUCAACCACUGAGCUCCCUUUGUUUUCAGGUUUGUUUAUUAACAAAGAACAUCUACAAACACUUACAAAAGAUGGGUCUUCAAAAAACAAAUCAAUGUCCGGCUCCAGAUAUGAGCCCUAACUAUGAGCUACAAGUGUGUUUUGUCUCUUAAGGGUGCAAGGUGUUUACCUCCCACCCCCAAGCCACUGCAACCCGCCUUCACUUUGUGUAUGGUGGCCAAACCUCAGUCUCACUAGCACUGGGAACAGUUCACCUUUUAACUGCCCACCCCCUGAAUUAGUGACUCUGAACAUGAAGAAAGUGCCAGCCAGCCAGGAAGAUCAAGGCCUCUAAAGUAGCAGCAGCACAAUGGCUCUUGGAAAUUAAAAAGGCCAGCAAACUUUUCCUUUUGUAACCUGGUGGGGGGGAAGGGGGAGAGAACUCUGCAUCAUUGCAACAGGCGCUUCCGCCAAAAACAUCAUGAAUUCAGCAGCUGCUCCUGUGCGCAAAGUUCAGCAAAACACGUGCAUUUUAUGAGUGCAAAAUGGCUUGAUGAGUGAGUUAUUAGAAUCUCUGCUGCUAAAGUCCAUCUGGGCUGCCAGGCAUGUGUGACUGGUAGCCACUCAGAGGCAGUUGAAUUCAGUUAACAAAUAACCUUGAAUUUAAGUUACUGGGAGCAUGUACGUGUCCUUUGCAGAAGGAAACUUAAAAGUGCCAUUAUGGUCAGAAAGCUGACUCAGAAGCUGGCCCCUUCUUGCUCAUAGCAGGAAACUGAGGCAUAGUCCAGGCUUUCUCAUUCCCGAUGCUCCCGUGCUAAUCGCUACUAGACAGUCUGUUCUCUCCUCUUAGAGCGUCUCUAGCAGACUCCAGCUGGUUUCUACAUCAACCAGUGCUCAGCAGUGAGUCUAAGAAAAUAAGCUCUCCGGGCCGUAACCCUGUUCCAAAGCCCUCAGACCCCCUACCCGACUGGCAGCAGUUUCUCCUAUCAGUGGAAUCUUUUGUUCUCUUACCCCAGCACCCUCCCGCUGGCUGGAAGAUCAGAUCUACUCAAGUGUUGCUCUGUAGUAGCUGGAGGCCAAGAGAGGCUGUUGCUACAGCUAAGGGUGGUUCUCCUUUAGCUCAACUGGCUGAGUGCUGCUCUCCAAGACAUGAAGAUCACGGGUCCUGUAGCCUUUAGUGGCGCAGUUCAGCUGGUGACUGCCUGUGGCCAAGUAGUUCUCUUUCCCAGGCCAGGGAAUAAUCUCUGUGGUAUUAAAAGGUGCAACCCUGUCUCCCA
RNA transcript from Gopherus flavomarginatus (Mexican gopher tortoise), 3386 nucleotides. It is a transcript of the gene named pyridoxamine 5'-phosphate oxidase, with no coding region annotated. The record is from RefSeq and is a predicted model, not a curated record. Lineage: Eukaryota; Metazoa; Chordata; Testudines; Testudinidae. The transcript has 8 exons.